GAACAUUCUUCCCCAGAUAUCUACCUGGCUCUUUCCCUCUCCUCCCUUUUUUUUUUUUUUCUCCCUUAAGUUUUUGCUUAAAUGUCUCCGUGGGGCCUCCAUCCCCCUUCUUGGUUUCCAUUCAUCCUCUCACUCCUCGUUCUCGGGAGGAGGGCCUUCCACCGAGGCAAGGACCAUCUCUCCUGUUCCUCUGCACCCCAGCCCCUGGGCUGGCCACCCCCAGUAGGCUCGCAGAAGCAAACACGAACGGGUAAGGGGAAGAAGAAAAGGGCCAGCUCGGGCCUCUGCAGCCUCCGGAAGGUUCCAUCCUGCAGAUUCCGCAGCGGGCGGCUCGGGAAGGUCAAAAGGGAAAGGGGGCAGCUACAGGGUGGCACCAGCCGAGAGGUCAAGAAGGGGCUUCUCAGGACACUUCUAUGGUGUGUGAUUCAUGCUCCGUAUGCUGACCUCAGAACCAACUUGUGCAGAACAGAAACUUCCAGCACAGCGAGCUCCUUGCAGCACCCAGCACCUGUGUACCUGCACCUGCACCUACAGACUCUCAGGACAUGCUUCUCACCUUCUCACUUCUUGGCCUUGUGCUGAGCAUGUUUGGGGCUGUCCUGUGCACUGCGUGAUGGUCAGCAUGAACAUUCCUGGCCAUUCCCCAUUACCAGCUCUAGUACCUCCCUGUCUCCAGAAAUUGCCAAAUAUCCUCUGGGGGGCAAAGUUACCCUGGCUGGGAACCACUGGCUUACCUGCAAUGCACCCAGAUACCCCAUGCCUUCUCCCUAACUUUCUUCAGGUCUUGACUCAAGGGUCACCGCCCUACUGUGGGCUCUGUCCACCCUGAUUAUCACUGCUGCCCACCUCAACUCCCUACCUCCCUUCCUGCUGUAUUUUUCUCCAUAGCCCUCAUCACCAUUUUUUUUUUGUUUAUUAUGUCUCUUCUUAAUAGACCAUAUAUUAUUAUUUUUUAAAGAUUUAAUUUAUGUAUUUGAGAGAGAGAGCAUGGGAGAGAGAGAAUAAGCAGUGGGUUGAGGCAGAGGGAGAGGGAGAAGCAGACUCCCCACUGAGCAGGGAGCCUGAUGCUAGGCUCCAUCCUAGGACCCUGGGAUCAUGACCCAAGUCGAAGUCAGGUGCCCAACAUACUGAGCCACCUACAUGCCCAGACCAGAAGCUUUAAAAAGACAAGGACUGGGGCACCUGGGUGUCUCAGUGGUUGAGCAUCUGCCUUUGGCUCAGGGAGUGAUCCGGGGUCCUGGGAUGGAGUUGCACAUCAGGGUCCCCCAGGGAGCCUGCUUCUUUCUCUGCCAGUGUCUCUGCCUCUCUCUCUUUGUGUCUCUCAUGAAUAAAUAAAUAAAAUCUUAAAAAAAGA
This 1354-nucleotide long non-coding RNA is filed under the name Canis lupus dingo (dingo). Its description in RNAcentral is "lncRNA (ENSCAFG00020015188.1)". Lineage: Eukaryota; Metazoa; Chordata; Mammalia; Carnivora; Canidae. The record is from RNAcentral.